AGAGUUUGAUCCUGGCUCAGGAUGAACGCUGGCGGCGUGCCUAAUACAUGCAAGUCGAGCGAACCACUUCGGUGGGAAGCGGCGAACGGGUGAGUAACACGUAGGUAAUCUGCCCAUCAGACGGGGACAACGAUUGGAAACGAUCGCUAAUACCGGAUAGGACGAAAGUUUAAAGAUGCUCCUGGCAUCACUGAUGGAUGAGCCUGCGGCGCAUUAGCUAGUUGGUGGGGUAAAGGCCUACCAAGGCGACGAUGCGUAGCCGACCUGAGAGGGUGAACGGCCACACUGGGACUGAGACACGGCCCAGACUCCUACGGGAGGCAGCAGUAGGGAAUCUUCGGCAAUGGGCGAAAGCCUGACCGAGCAACGCCGCGUGAAUGAAGAAGGCCUUCGGGUUGCAAAAUUCUGUUAUAAGGGAAGAAAGGUGAUAGGAGGAAAUGACUAUCAAUUGACGGUACCUUAUGAGAAAGCCACGGCUAACUACGUG
This 487-nucleotide ribosomal RNA is filed under the name uncultured Turicibacter sp. Its description in RNAcentral is "bacterial SSU rRNA". It matches the Rfam family "Bacterial small subunit ribosomal RNA", at positions 8 to 507 of the family's 1533-position model. Lineage: Bacteria; Bacillati; Bacillota; Erysipelotrichia; Erysipelotrichales; Turicibacteraceae. The record is from RNAcentral.